GGAGAAAUGGCCGAGUGGCUUAAGGCGCUCGCCUGCUAAGCGAGUAUACGGUGUUAAACUGUAUCGAGGGUUCAAAUCCCUCUUUCUCCGCCA
Molecule: transfer RNA, 93 nt
Filed under: endosymbiont 'TC1' of Trimyema compressum
Lineage: Bacteria; Bacillati; Bacillota
Description: tRNA-Ser
Rfam family: tRNA
About the family: Transfer RNA (tRNA) molecules are approximately 80 nucleotides in length. Their secondary structure includes four short double-helical elements and three loops (D, anti-codon, and T loops).
Source: RNAcentral